This 1048-nucleotide long non-coding RNA is filed under the name Sus scrofa (pig). Its description in RNAcentral is "lncRNA (ENSSSCG00040018503.1)". Lineage: Eukaryota; Metazoa; Chordata; Mammalia; Artiodactyla; Suidae. The record is from RNAcentral.
CUCCUGGCUCUAGUGGAAUGCUCUCGAUUCACUCUGCCAACUGUAACCGAAAGAGAAUGGGGGAGGGCAAGCCAAUGGGAAGAGAGAGGGAGGUCCAGUGGCCGAGGGCAGGGAGGACACCUUACGGAGAAGCGCCUUCCCCAGGUGGGCGCAGGCUCCCGCGCGCGCUCAGGUCUCCCACCCAGCGACAAAGGCAGCGGCGCGGGCCGAUGUGGAUCUGGCCCGCUGGCUUUCUUCCCGACCCGCCACGAGCAGGGUCCAGCCUGCCGCCACUCGCCGGAGGCGGCCGGUGCGCGGCCGGGACAAUGUGGCCAUUGUUCGGGCGCAGAAAACCCGGCAGGCGAGCAGAUUGGCAGAGAAGAAAACAUCAUCAAUAAACCCUGACAAAAGUGAACGUGUGAAAAAGAGCAGAGAAUGGAAAAGUGAGAUCAACGUGAUAUCCGGUCACAGAUUCCAGCGGCAGAUGACAAGCCCGGGCCGAAGAAUCUCCCUGGACCAUCACCCCUUUGCGGCUUUCCUUCCCUUUGCAGAAACUCUUCAUUCAAGACAAUAGGAAAUGCAUUAAAACUUUUUUCUUAUGCUAAUGCAUGAAACCGGGCACUCACGUUAAAAUACACUUCCCGCAACUUUUUUUUUCUUUUAAACAGCAUACAUGCACACACAAAACCACCUUAACUUAUUCCAUUUAAACCCCAUAUCUCAAAAACAGUUUAAUAUGAAUCUUUGGUCACAUCUUAAGUGAGUUCUUUUCCCCCAUGGGCAUGUUUUUAAGAAGCCAGAAUCAUAAUAGAAACAGGACUAUACUAAGUAUGCUUCUUAGGUAGAUGAAGGAAUUGGGGGGAAAAUAAGACACUAAAAAGGCAAAAAGUAUCAUUAGUACCUUUUCCCAACACUUUCAACAUAGUUUUGUAGGUUGAGGAUGUUUUUGUCACCUCCAAAAUCUAAAAACAACCAUCAAUGAUUUUUUUUUUUAAUCCUUUUCAGUCCACAGCAAAAUGAACAAACAUCCAAGUACAUUUUGGAAUAAAUAGUAUUGAUUCUGGUGUCA